UUAUUAUUAUUUUAAUGUCUACAGAAUGUAAGUAGUAUCGUAUAAAAAUUUCGUUAAGAAAUUUUACCGUUUGCAUGCUUAAUUUAAUAAAAAGGACUAAUUUACAAAAGGUGCAAAACUUGAAUUCUAUAAGCUAAAGGGACCUAGUGGCCAUACUAUUAAAUGGUUGAAGGUUUUAUGUAGUAAUUAAACCAUUUUAAUCAUGAGUGGAUAAAGAUAGACAUUAAAUGGAUGAAUUUUCAAGUAUUAAUAAAGGUUAAAAAUGUA
Molecule: long non-coding RNA, 267 nt
Filed under: Gossypium barbadense (sea-island cotton)
Lineage: Eukaryota; Viridiplantae; Streptophyta; Magnoliopsida; Malvales; Malvaceae
Description: long non-coding RNA (GBAR_LNC000661)
Source: RNAcentral